This 507-nucleotide ribosomal RNA is filed under the name uncultured Sphingobacteriales bacterium. RNAcentral describes it as "bacterial SSU rRNA". It matches the Rfam family "Bacterial small subunit ribosomal RNA", at positions 903 to 1382 of the family's 1533-position model. The record is from RNAcentral. Lineage: Bacteria; Pseudomonadati; Bacteroidota; Sphingobacteriia; Sphingobacteriales.
UGCGCCUUGCCAGCCCGCUCAGAAACUUAAAGGAAUUGACGGGGGCCCGCACAAGCGGAGGAGCAUGUGGUUUAAUUCGAUGAUACGCGAGGAACCUUACCUGGGCUCGAACGUAAGAUGACUGUAGGUGAAAGCUUACAUCUCUUCGGAGCAUUUUACGAGGUGCUGCAUGGUUGUCGUCAGCUCGUGCCGUGAGGUGUCGGGUUAAGUCCCAUAACGAGCGCAACCCCUACCUUUAGUUGCCAUCAGGUUAAGCUGGGGACUCUAAAGGAACUGCCUACGCAAGUAGUGAGGAAGGCGGGGAUGACGUCAAAUCAGCACGGCCCUUACGUCCAGGGCUACACACGUGCUACAAUGGCCGAUACAGAGGGCAGCUACCUGGUGACAGGAUGCAAAUCUCCAAAGUCGGUCUCAGUUCGGAUCGGAGUCUGCAACCCGACUCCGUGAAGUUGGAUUCGCUAGUAAUCGCGCAUCAGCCAUGGCGCGGUGAAUACGUUCCCGGGCCUU